GACGAACGCUGGCGGCGUGCUUAACACAUGCAAGUCGAACGGAAAGGCCCUGCUUUUGUGGGGUGCUGGAGUGGCGAACGGGUGCGUAACACGUGAGUAACCUGCCCUUGACUUUGGGAUAACUUAAGGAAACUGGGGCUAAUAUCGGAUAGGAGCUCCUGUUGCAUGGUGGGGGUUGGAACGUUUCGGCGGUUGGGGAUGGACUGGCGGGUUAUCAGCUUGUUGGUGGGGUAGUGGCUUACCCAGGCUUUGACGGGUAGCCGGCCUGAGAGGGUGACCGGCCACAUUGGGACUGAGGUACGGCCCAGACUCCUACGGGAGGCAGAAGUGGGAAAUAUUGCACAAUGGGCGGAAGCCUGAUGCAGCAACGCCGCGGGCGGGAUGACGGCCUUCGGGUUGAGAACCGCUUUCGCCUGUGACGAAGCGUGAGUGACGGUAAUGGGUAAAGAAGCACCGGCUAACUACGUG
Molecule: ribosomal RNA, 468 nt
Filed under: uncultured bacterium
Lineage: Bacteria
Description: partial 16S ribosomal RNA
Rfam family: Bacterial small subunit ribosomal RNA
Source: RNAcentral